AGGUUAAGUCUAAAGGGACGGAGCCGAAGCGAAAGCGAGUCUUAAUAGGGCGGUAAGUUGAAUGCUGUAGACCCGAAACCCGGCGAGCUAGCCAUGAGCAGGUUGAAGUUUGAGUAAAAUCAAAUGGAGGACCGAACUAGGGCCUGUUGAAAAAGGCUUGGAUGACUUGUGGCUAGGGGUGAAAUUCCAAUCGAGCUGGGAUAUAGCUGGUUCUCCCCGAAAUAACUUUAGGGCUAGCGUUAAACAAGAGUUUUAUGAAGGUAGAGCACUGAAUAGUAGAUGGUCCCACCUCGGGAUACUGACAUUAAUCAAACUCCGAAUGUCAUAAAACGCGUUUAGCAGUCAGACUGCGAGUGAUAAGGUCCGUGGUCAAAAGGAAAAGAGUCCAGACCGCCAAAUAAGGUCCCAAAAUAUAUGCUAAGUGGAGAAGGAUGUAGAGAUGCCUAAACAACUAGGAUGUUGGCUUAGAAGCAGCCAUCAUUUAAAGAGUGCGUAAUAGCUCACUAGUCGAGUGACUCCGCGCCGAAAAUGUACCGGGGCUAAGCAUAUUACCGAAUUUGCGGAUUCGAUACGAAAGUAUUGAGUGGUAGGGGAGCGUUCCAUAUUGGGAAGAAGCAAGAUCGAGAGGACUUGUGGACUAUAUGGAAGUGAGAAUGCCGGUGUGAGUAACGAAAAGACAGGUGAGAAUCCUGUCCGUCAAAAACCCAAGGUUUCCAGGGGAAGGGUCGUCCGCCCUGGGUAAGUCUGGGCCUAAGGUGAGGCCGAGAGGCGUAGCUGAUGGAUAUCUGGUGUAUAUUCCAGAACUAGUAUAAUGACUGAUGGAGUGACGAAGAAGGCUAGGAUCCGAUUCUUAGUGGAUUGAAUACGAGAUAUCAAGAGGGGAUGUAGGCAAAUCCGCAUCUAGAAAUCAAGAUAUGACAGGUAAAGGAUAACGAAGUCAAGCUUCCAAGAAAAGCUUCUAGGGUUAAUCAUUAUACUACCAGUACCGUAAACCGACACAGGUGGGUAGGAAGAGAAUUCUAAGACGCGCGAGAAAACCCUUGUUAAGGAACUCUGCAAGUUGGCCCCGUAAGUUCGCAAUAAGGGGAGCUCAUGUAAAAGUGAGCCACAGAAAAGAAGCCCAAGCAACUGUUUAACAAAAACACA
This 1146-nucleotide non-coding RNA is filed under the name Clostridium sp. CAG:307. RNAcentral describes it as "Bacterial large subunit ribosomal RNA". It matches the Rfam family "Bacterial large subunit ribosomal RNA", at positions 643 to 1817 of the family's 2925-position model. Lineage: Bacteria; Bacillati; Bacillota; Clostridia; Eubacteriales; Clostridiaceae. The record is from Rfam by way of RNAcentral.